AAUGGGCGCAAGCCUGAUCUAGCCAUGCCGCGUGAGUGAUGAAGGCCCUAGGGUCGUAAAGCUCUUUCGCCUGUGAAGAUAAUGACUGUAGCAGGUAAAGAAACCCCGGCUAACUCCGUGCCAGCAGCCGCGGUAAUACGGAGGGGGUUAGCGUUGUUCGGAAUUACUGGGCGUAAAGCGCACGUAGGCGGACAUUUAAGUCAGGGGUGAAAUCCCGGGGCUCAACCCCGGAACUGCCCUUGAUACUGGGUGUCUUGAGUUCGAGAGAGGUGAGUGGAAUUCCGAGUGUAGAGGUGAAAUUCGUAGAUAUUCGGAGGAACACCAGUGGCGAAGGCGGCUCACUGGCUCGAUACUGACGCUGAGGUGCGAAAGUGUGGGGAGCAAACAGGAUU
This 392-nucleotide ribosomal RNA is filed under the name uncultured Gammaproteobacteria bacterium. Its description in RNAcentral is "bacterial SSU rRNA". It matches the Rfam family "Bacterial small subunit ribosomal RNA", at positions 370 to 779 of the family's 1533-position model. Lineage: Bacteria; Pseudomonadati; Pseudomonadota; Gammaproteobacteria. The record is from RNAcentral.